GUGUUGUAUGAAAGGAGAGAAGGUUAGCCCUUGAUAAGGAUGGAAAAGGCCCUUGGGCCUGAUGACACAUAUAUGGUUAAGGCACUGCCAUCUACUUUGUGGUAUCUAACCAUCAUUUCUG
This is a small nuclear RNA of Otolemur garnettii (small-eared galago), 121 nucleotides long. The record is from Ensembl. Lineage: Eukaryota; Metazoa; Chordata; Mammalia; Primates; Galagidae.